CAGUCGCCACGGUAAUACAGAGGUCUCAAGCGUUGUUCGGAUUCAUUGGGCGUAAAGGGAGCGUAGGCGGUCGGGUAAGUUGGAUGUGAAAUCCUGGGGCUCAACCUCAGAACUGCAUUCAAUACUGCUUGGCUAGAGUAUUGGAGAGGUGAGUGGAAUUCACGGUGUAGCAGUGAAAUGCGUAGAUAUCGUGAGGAAGACCAGCGGCGAAGGCGGCCCCCUGGACAAAGACUGACGCUCAGGUGCGAAAGCGUGGGGAGCAAACAGGAUUAGAGACCCCAGUAGUCCCUGUCUCUUAUAA
Molecule: ribosomal RNA, 301 nt
Filed under: uncultured bacterium
Lineage: Bacteria
Description: partial 16S ribosomal RNA
Rfam family: Bacterial small subunit ribosomal RNA
Source: RNAcentral